Mercenaria mercenaria is the source of this 862-nucleotide long non-coding RNA. RefSeq lists it as uncharacterized. The transcript has 2 exons. The record is from RefSeq and is a predicted model, not a curated record. Lineage: Eukaryota; Metazoa; Mollusca; Bivalvia; Venerida; Veneridae.
AUUUCCUAUUCUUAUUCAGGAAGUAAAUAAUAUCGCGAGGGCUUUGUUCCGAAAACGAAAGAGGGUUGAAAUAUUUUUAAAACAGAUUUGACUUGGUUUUCGUUAUUCAAGCUCUUUCACGGUGUGAACUAUUGUCGUCCAUGUCUGGAGACCAGAUGCAAGUCAUGUUGGUCACUGUGCCUUAGAAUUAAGUGAUGGAACCUACAUAAGCUGGUGGCCUAAGUCUCAAUGUGAUGCUAAAAAUCUAAGAGCUAGAGCAUUUGCAAAUACUUCGCACAGUUUUGAUAUUGAGCAAGAAGGAGAUAGGCAGCCAAAAUCUUAUAGGAUUCGUGUCUCGGAUGGAGAACUGAAUGCCAUUAAGCGUUGGUGGGCAGGCUUCAAGGACAAAACAGACUACCAACUUGUCUCAAACAAUUGCUCGACUGUAGCUUACUACGCCCAGGAGGCGGCUUUUCCAUUUCUGGAAGUCCUAAAUGAUGAAGUUCCUGUUUGGGUGCCCACAGCAAUAGAAAUGGUUGCGGUAGACCUGGCAUCCGGAAAAAGGAAUUUCGAUCAGAAAAGAAUUAAAGAAAUUAAGGAAGUGGCGCAUGCUGAAGCUAAAAACGCCGUAGGGUCUUUUAAAGGGAUGUUUGUGAAAGGUAAAACAACCGGAAAAGCUGGAGGAAAAUGACUAUUUAUUCCGAUGCUAGGUUAAAAGCAUGGUUAUAUAAAUGUAUGUAGCUUUUAACCUUCAAAAUUAAAGCAUGCAUGUGCUUUUUACAUUUUUCGGACAAUUCUGUGAGGCAAUGAUAUUUUAUAUUUUGAAUUAAACUCAACUGAUACAUUUCAUUAAUGAAAUACUAGUAAAUGCUACCAAAAGUAG